Molecule: long non-coding RNA, 369 nt
Filed under: Vulpes vulpes (red fox)
Lineage: Eukaryota; Metazoa; Chordata; Mammalia; Carnivora; Canidae
Description: lncRNA (ENSVVUG00000030173.1)
Source: RNAcentral
CUGAGAAGAAAGCCAAUGGUGUGGCUUAAAGAUGUAAGUUCUAGAACUGUUGUAUUGUGAGAAAUCCAACCUGAGGAUAAAGAUGACGUAUAGUUGAGGAUGGAGUGGACAGAAUUGUAUAGAAAUGGAGCUACAGGUCUAUGAACAUGAUAACCAUGCAUAAGUCAAACGAUGCCAGAAGAUCUUCCUCCAGUGCGAUAUAACCAUCCUGGAACUAAAGAGACGGAAAGGAAAGGCAUAGUCAAGAAUAUCUUGAAUUUGACUGAUGCUUGUCCACAAGGAGCUAACACAAAUCUAAAAGUGAGAUGUUUUACCUUGAUUUUUUGUUUAGCAGUGAUACAGAAACUUUUCUAUUAAUUUUCGCAUGCC